GCUCAACCGUUAAUAUAAACAGUACAACACAAAACUGUUCGCCAGAGAACUACAAGUAUAAAACUAGAAACUCUAAGGACUUGGCGGUGCUCCACACCACCCUAGAGGAGCCUGUCCUAUAAUCGAUACCCCCCGAUACACCUUACCAUUUUUUGAAGCUCAGCCUAUAUACCGCCGUCGUCAGCCUACCUUAUGAAAGAAGAAAAGUAGGCAAAAAAGUCAUUAACUAGAACGUCAGGUCAAGGUGUAGUAUACAAAAUGGCAGAGAUGGGCUACACUCUCUUAAAAAGAAAACACGAACAGCAUAAUGAAAUAAUGCCUUAAGGCGGAUUUAGCAAUAAGACACGCAAGAAUGCCUGUCUGAAACAAGCCCUGGAGCGCGCACACACCGCCCGUCA
RNAcentral lists this ribosomal RNA (398 nucleotides) under Panaspis wahlbergii (Wahlbergs snake-eyed skink). RNAcentral describes it as "partial 12S ribosomal RNA". It matches the Rfam family "Bacterial small subunit ribosomal RNA", at positions 830 to 1399 of the family's 1533-position model. The record is from RNAcentral. Lineage: Eukaryota; Metazoa; Chordata; Lepidosauria; Squamata; Scincidae.